RNAcentral lists this long non-coding RNA (202 nucleotides) under Lathyrus oleraceus (garden pea). Its description in RNAcentral is "Pisum sativum (pea) long non-coding RNA (PSAT_LNC005902)". Lineage: Eukaryota; Viridiplantae; Streptophyta; Magnoliopsida; Fabales; Fabaceae. The record is from RNAcentral.
AAAAAUCAAAUGUUAACAAUAAUUUUAAGUCAUAAAAAUAAAAUCAAUAAUAAAAGUGUGUUAAAAUGGACCAUUUAGAAUAAAUAAUUAAAAUAAAAUAUUAAUAUUAAAAACAUACGAAAAUAAAAAUUAUAUAAAAUUAAAUAAAACGUUAAGAAAAGUGAAAAAUAUUUUUGGGUAAUUUUAUGGACGAAUAAAAUAU